UACGUAGGUCCCGAGCGUUGUACGGAUUUAUUGGGCGUAAAGCGAGCGCAGGUGGUUUAUUAAGUCUGGUGUAAAAGGCAGUGGCUCAACCAUUGUAUGCAUUGGAAACUGGUAGACUUGAGUGCAGGAGAGGAGGGUGGAAUUCCAUGUGUAGCGGUGAAAUGCGUAGAUAUAUGGAGGAACACCGGUGGCGAAAGCGGCUCUCUGGCCUGUAACUGACACUGAGGCUCGAAAGCGUGGGGAGCAAACAGG
Molecule: ribosomal RNA, 252 nt
Filed under: uncultured bacterium
Lineage: Bacteria
Description: partial 16S ribosomal RNA
Rfam family: Bacterial small subunit ribosomal RNA
Source: RNAcentral